This 1080-nucleotide long non-coding RNA is filed under the name Monodelphis domestica (gray short-tailed opossum). RNAcentral describes it as "lncRNA (ENSMODG00000050108.1)". Lineage: Eukaryota; Metazoa; Chordata; Mammalia; Didelphimorphia; Didelphidae. The record is from RNAcentral.
UUCUCCUCUGCCUCCUCUCCCUACCCCACUUCCCAAACAUUAUCUUGAAGAAAAAAUUCUGGGUGUUCAAAAGCUAGAGGCAGAUCGAUGCUUUGAUAUGUGUCCAGUCAUUUGUACACGAAGCCAAAGGAAUUCUUUGAGAUACCUUCAAGAUGUAGUCACAUUUUAUAAGGAGUCCAAUAGGGAAGAAACAAUAGUCUAAAUGUGACAAUGGGAGGUUUCUUAGAAACAAGAGGAACCCAGAGCUGCGUAAACAAGACGAUUGUCUUGAACAGAAUCUUAUGUGGGCAGCCAUGAUGAUGGGUAGCCGUGAUGGUGGUCAGAAAGAUUUAAGCAUUCAUCAAACAGAAAUGGCUAGAGGGAGGAUAAACUGAUGCCAAUGUACUUUCUAGCAUCUCCACAUAGACUUGUGAUUGGACUAGAGCAUAUUGGUAUCAGAAUAUAUGAAAAACCAAUAACCAACCCUGUUGCAACCCUAAUUGUCUAAGUCCUCUUGCAUAUCAGAACUGAAUUCAGGAGAUCCACCAGCUUCAGGCUCUAUGGCUGCAAAGAUGACAUAUAGAUAUUGCCAUACCAAAAUAGGAUGCUGCCUUUUAAUGAAGACAUGGAAGAGCUGGCAUAUGAACACUUGCUUAAGAGGGAGGAUUAGCACCCUUGUUGUGAGGGUUUGUUGAGCCCUUUCCAGAGCUCCUCAUCCAUCUUUGGUCUCUACCUUUCACCCAGGUCUCACCUGUGGUUUCAAGAAGUUGUAGCAUAUGCAGUGACCUCACCCCAUUAAAACUGUCUCAGCAGAUGGACUGAACCAGCCUGAGGGUAACUUGACAGUUCUCAAACCAGUUGAAGAACAGGAGAACUUAUACAUAUGAAGACUUCACCUAGUGGAAUAGACAGAUGAGAACAACUUGUUGCAAUCAUCAUGCAGGAGGUUGAAACAAGCUUUGAUACCAUGGUCAUCUGUUGCAUCCUGGGCUAUUGCCAGUCAUCCUGACUUUUAUCUUUCCCUUGGACUUCAGUGAUUUUAAGAGAGAGUAAGUCUGGCAGUUUUGUGUAACUGCCUCUCUUAAAUAGAAUUCAAGUGCA